CAACUUUUCCUCCUGACAGGUUUUGAUAAAUCCCCCAAUAUACUUACAGAGAGAGCUAUAGGGUUUUGGAUUCAUCUAAGAGCCACGCAAAACAGAACUGAUGAAAGAGGCUGAGAUGGAGGAAUUAAGAAAGAGAAAUCCAGGAUAGUUCUGUAAACCCAGAGGCGGAACAAGCAUCUAGACCAGGCCUCCACUGACAUGCUGGACAUGAUCCCAUUGAGGAGCCAACAACAGAAGCCAUUCUAUCAUCAGUUUACCUUUGGCACUUUUCUACCAUGAAAGGAAACUAAACCAGAUCACCGGAAAUGGAGCCUAAGAGAUCCACUUCAGGAUUCACAAAGCUUCAUCUCUUUCAGCACUCAGCAGUAGACGCACAAAAGAGCUAAAAGGACUCUUCAAAUCAAAGGUAUUAAUAAUGGGCAGACUUCUGGGCUGGGAGUGUCUGGUUGGACUACCAAUUUAAUGCAGACACUUCACAAGGAGACUGAACAUCGAACUGAGCUGCCAAACUGAACUGGAUGUGGGAGAAGGAAUCCACUUAAUAGUUGAAAUUUCAUCCCAAGCUAUGGUUUUGUUAAGUUCCUACAAAGGUGAAAUAUUCUGGGUGGUCAGAAAGUAGUGCCAGAUAUUUAAAGGGGUACUCUGCCCCUAGACAUCUUAUCCUCUUUCCAAAGGAUAAGUGAUAAGAUGUCUGAUCACAGUGGUCCCCAGUGGCAGGACCCCCGCAUUCUCCCUGCUGCACCCGGUGUUCGUUUAGGUUCAGGUCAGGUCUGGUGCAGCGCCGCAGCACCAGAGGCUUGUUACAUGGCGGGUGCACCUCGCUUGUGUCCUAACGGCCAUGCCCCCUUAAUGCACGUCUAUGAGAGAGGGUGUGACGACAUGGCCGGGAUAUCACAAGCGGGGCACGGAAGUGAUGUCACGAGCCUCCGCCACAUAUCGGCAGUCAUCGGCAUUGGACCGAAGUUUGCGCCGUGCACCGGAUGCCUUGGGUGUCGCAGCCGAGAUUACGGGGAUCCCCAGCGGCGGGAGCCCUGCGAUCACACAUCUUAUUCCUAUCCUUUGGACAGGGGAUAAGAUUUCUAGGGGCGGAGUACCCCUUUAAGUUUAACAAUGCUUUGAAAUGGACUUUCAAUAGACGGUUCACCUAAUAGACGGUUCACCUACCAGAAAUAUCUGCUGAUAUAAUAUCUGA
Long non-coding RNA from Hyla sarda, 1192 nucleotides. RefSeq lists it as uncharacterized. The transcript is spliced from 4 exons. Lineage: Eukaryota; Metazoa; Chordata; Amphibia; Anura; Hylidae. The record is from RefSeq and is a predicted model, not a curated record.